Molecule: ribosomal RNA, 447 nt
Filed under: uncultured bacterium
Lineage: Bacteria
Description: bacterial SSU rRNA
Rfam family: Bacterial small subunit ribosomal RNA
Source: RNAcentral
UCGGGAAUUUUGGGCAAUGGGGGAAACCCUGACCCAGCAACGCCGCGUGAAGGAUGAAGUAUUUCGGUAUGUAAACUUCGUAAGAAUAGGAAGAAUCAAUGACGGUACUAUUUGUAAGCUCCGGCUAACUACGUGCCAGCAGCCGCGGUAAUACGUAGGGGGCAAGCGUUGUUCGGAUUUACUGGGCGUAAAGGGCGCGUAGGCGGCGUGACAAGUCACUUGUGAAAUCUCUGGGCUUAACCCAGAACGGCCAAGUGAAACUGUCAUGCUAGAGUGCAGAAGGGGCAAUCGGAAUUCUUGGUGUAGCGGUGAUAUGCGUAGAUAUCAAGAGGAACACCUGAGGUGAAGACGGGUUGCUGGGCUGACACUGACGCUGAGGCGCGAAAGCCAGGGGAGCAAACGGGAUUAGAUACCCACGUAGUCCCUGAGCGGGCUGGCAAGGCGCAU